Molecule: ribosomal RNA, 465 nt
Filed under: Vreelandella stevensii
Lineage: Bacteria; Pseudomonadati; Pseudomonadota; Gammaproteobacteria; Oceanospirillales; Halomonadaceae
Description: partial 16S ribosomal RNA
Rfam family: Bacterial small subunit ribosomal RNA
Source: RNAcentral
CCUACGGGUGGCAGCAGUGGGGAAUAUUGGACAAUGGGCGAAAGCCUGAUCCAGCCAUGCCGCGUGUGUGAAGAAGGCCUUCGGGUUGUAAAGCACUUUCAGUGGGGAAGAAAGCCUUGGGGCUAAUACCCUCGAGGAAGGACAUCACCCACAGAAGAAGCACCGGCUAACUCCGUGCCAGCAGCCGCGGUAAUACGGAGGGUGCGAGCGUUAAUCGGAAUUACUGGGCGUAAAGCGCGCGUAGGCGGUCUGAUAAGCCGGUUGUGAAAGCCCCGGGCUCAACCUGGGAACGGCAUCCGGAACUGUCAGGCUAGAGUGCAGGAGAGGAAGGUAGAAUUCCCGGUGUAGCGGUGAAGUGCGUAGAGAUCGGGAGGAAUACCAGUGGCGAAGGCGGCCUUCUGGACUGACACUGACGCUGAGGUGCGAAAGCGUGGGUAGCAAACAGGAUUAGAUACCCCAGUAGUC